CAUCAAAUAAGAUACUUUCCAAAAGAAAAAAAAAACAACCUUAAUACAGCACUUUACUUUAUCAUUUAUUAUAAACAAGUAACACAAACAAAUCACUCUCCCAUCCUUAUAAUACAACGGAUUGAUUCCCCCUUCAGCAUGUAAUCAAAUGCUUUGUUUAUAUCAGAAAAUGGGACUGAAUGUGUUAUGAACUUCUCCAAUUCCAGCUCCUUCUUCAAGUACUGUUCCACCACCCCAGGAAUGUCGGUUCGCGGUUUGUAGUUUCCAAAGAAGGUACCCUUCAGAGUCCUCUCAUUCAGGAGAUUCAUUGGAUGAGUUUUGAAUGCAUCGUCUUUGUUCGGCACUCCCACCAGUACCGCAACACCCCAACCAUCGUGGACACAUUCGAAUGCUGAGAUCAUUGCCUGAAUGCUUCCGGUGCAUUCCACACUCCGGUCCACUCCUCCAUCGGUCAUCUCCGCAAUCACCUCCUGAACAGGCUUCUUGUGAUCCUUUGGAUUCACAAACUCGUUGCAACCAAAUUUCUUCGCUUCUUCGAAUCUACUUGGAUUCAGAUCAACACCAAUAAUCCUGGAUGCGCCAGCAAUUCUUGCUCCUUCAGCAGCUGCAAGGCCAACAGCUCCAAGUCCAAAGAUCGCAACACAUGAACCC
This 651-nucleotide unclassified non-coding RNA is filed under the name Hevea brasiliensis (rubber tree). The record is from RNAcentral. Lineage: Eukaryota; Viridiplantae; Streptophyta; Magnoliopsida; Malpighiales; Euphorbiaceae.